CCUACGGGUGACAGCAGUAGGGAAUAUUCGACAAUGGAGGGAACCCUGAUCCAGCGACGCCGCGUGAGUGAAGAAGGAUUUCGGUAUGUAAAGCUCUGUCAGCAGGGAAGAAAAUUACGGUACGUGACUAGGAAGCCCCGGCUAACUACGUGCCAGCAGCCGAGGUAAUACGUAGGGGGCAAGCGUUCUCCGGAUUUACUGGGUGUAAAGGGAGCGUAGACGGUGCAGCAAGUCUGAUGUGAAAGGUCGGGGCUCAACCCGGGGACUGCAUUGGAAACUGUUGAACUGGAGUGCAGUAGAGGUGAGCGGAAUUCCUAGUGUAGCGGUGAAAUGCGUAGAUAUUAGGAAGAACACCAGUGGCGAAGGCGGCUUACUGGACUGUAACUGACGUUGAGGCUCGAAAGCGUGGGGAGCAAACAGGAUUAGAUACCCGAGUAGUC
RNAcentral lists this ribosomal RNA (440 nucleotides) under uncultured bacterium. Its description in RNAcentral is "partial 16S ribosomal RNA". It matches the Rfam family "Bacterial small subunit ribosomal RNA", at positions 338 to 795 of the family's 1533-position model. The record is from RNAcentral.